GUGUGUGUGUGUGUGUGUGUGUGUGUGUGUGUGUGUGUGUGUGUGUGUGUGUGUUUCCAGGGGGGCUAUGCUGCCUACAGGUAUACUCAGCCUGCUGCCGCCACAGCAGCUGCUGCAUUCGGUGACAGUUACGGACCAGUAUAUGCUGCGGACCCCUACAACCACCCACUUGCUCCAGCAGCCACAUACAGCAUUGGUGCCAUGAAUCCGUUUGCCCCGUUGGCUGAUGCCAAGACGAGGAGUCAUGCUGAGGACGUGGGGCUGGUGUUGUCCUCCCUGCAGGCUAGUAUAUACAGGGGAGGCUACAGCCGCUUCGCCCCAUACUAACCCACCAACCAACCUCCCUAAAACCAUACAACAACCAAUUACUACCCUACCAACCAACCAACCUCCCCACAACCAAACAACAUCCAAUCCUUUCUGACAGGGACACAACUGAGCAACCAACCAACCACACAACCAACAAACCAGUAUGUGAGUGAGACAGACAGACAGAGAGAGAGAGACAGAGAGAGUGAGAGACAGAGAGAGAGAGAGAGAGAGAGAGAGAGAGAGAGAGAGAGAGAGAGAGGGAGAGAGAGAGAGAGACACAGAGAAAGAACUUUGAGGCCUGGGUAUUGCAAUAUAUGCUGUUGAUCAUGAUUUUAGCAGCUCCUAAGAGAGAGGGAAGUAAGUCAACUAAAAGGAAGGACAUUUAUACCUCAGAUAUUGUGUGCUGUUCAUUUUGAUACAGUGGGAUUUUCAUUUGUAAAGGUUAGUAGAUUGUCCGUGUUGGUAGAGCUAUAGAAGAGCUACUAGAUUUAAAACCUUACCAUUGUAAAACAACACAUUUCAACUGUUAGGGCUUCUUGAAAAGACAAACCAAUCCUGUAAAAUACAUCGUAGAAUGUGAUCCCGUUUUGUAAGAGUGUUUACAUGAUUGUAGGGUUCGGAUUUCUUUGACAUUCUCUCUGUCAGCGUCUACGUUGUUUCCUAGCUACUGGGGUUAGGAUUAGGAACGGGGUUAAAGUUAAGCACUGGGCAAGUGUUAGGAAUAGGGUUAAGGUUGGGGUUAGGUUAGGUUGGGAUUAGGGUUAAGGUUAGGAUUAGGAACGGGGUUAAAGUUAAGGACUGGGCAAGUGUUAGGGUUAGGAUUAGGGUUAAGGUUGGGGUUAGGUUAGGAUUAGGGUUAAGGUUAGGAUUAGGAACAGGAAUAAAGUUAAGGACUGGGCAAGUGUUAGGGUUAGGAUUAGGGUUGGGGUUAGGUUAGGAUCAGGGUUAAGGUUGUGGUUAGGUUAGGAUUAGGGUUAAGGUUGGGGUUAGGUUAGGAUUAGGGUUAAGGUUGGGGUUAGGUUAGGAUUAGGGUUAAGGUUGUGGUUAGGUUAGGAUUAGGGUUAAGGUUGGGGUUAGGUUAGGAUUAGGGUUAAAGUUGGGAUUAGGUUAGGAUUAGAGUUAAGGUUGGAAUUAGGUUAGGAUUAGGGUUAAGGUUGGAAUUAGGAUUAGGGUUAAGGUUGGGAUUAGGUUAGGUUAGGAUUGGGGUUAAAGUUAAGGACUGGGCAAGUGUUAUGGUUAGGAUUAGGGUUAAAUGUUGGGAUUAGGUUAGGAUUAGGGUUAAGGUUGAGGUUAGGUUAGGAUUAGGGUUAAAUGUUGGGAUUAGGUUAGGAUUAGGGUUAAGGUUGGAAUUAGGAUUAGGGUUAAGGUUGGGAUUAGGUUAGGUUAGGAUUGGGGUUAAAGUUAAGGACUGGGCAAGUGUUAUGGUUAGGAUUAGGGUUAAAUGUUGGGAUUAGGUUAGGAUUAGGGUUAAGGUUGAGGUUAGGUUAGGAUUAGGGUUAAAUGUUGGGAUUAGGUUAGGAUUAGGGUUAAGGUUGGAAUUAGGAUUAGGGUUAAGGUUGGGAUUAGGUUAGGUUAGGAUUGGGGUUAAAGUUAAGGACUGGGCAAGUGUUAUGGUUAGGAUUAGGGUUAAGGUUGAGGUUAGGUUAGGUUAGGAUUAGGGUUAAGGUUGAGGUUAGGUUAGGAUUAGGGUUAAAUGUUGGGAUUAGGUUAGGAUUAGGGUUAAGGUUGAGGUUAGG
Oncorhynchus gorbuscha (pink salmon) is the source of this 2048-nucleotide long non-coding RNA. RefSeq lists it as uncharacterized. NCBI's taxonomy places the organism in Eukaryota, Metazoa, Chordata, Actinopteri, Salmoniformes, Salmonidae. The transcript is spliced from 4 exons. The record is from RefSeq and is a predicted model, not a curated record.